Molecule: small nucleolar RNA, 132 nt
Organism: Hippopotamus amphibius kiboko
Lineage: Eukaryota; Metazoa; Chordata; Mammalia; Artiodactyla; Hippopotamidae
Product: small nucleolar RNA SNORA42/SNORA80 family
Exons: 1
Source: RefSeq, a predicted model, not a curated record
GCAUGCAUUUAGGUUUACGGCAAGCCCAGCCCCCGGGGCCUCUCACCGUGUCCCAUGCUGGAGCAAACUGGCCCCGCACCAUUGCCUGGCCUCUGCCCGUAGACUGCAGGCACUGAAGCCAGUUGCACAGUG